UGAGGAAUAUUGGUCAAUGGGUGCAAGCCUGAACCAGCCAUCCCGCGUGAAGGAUGACUGCCCUAUGGGUUGUAAACUUCUUUUGUAUAGGGAUAAACCUACCCUCGUGAGGGUAGCUGAAGGUACUAUACGAAUAAGCACCGGCUAACUCCGUGCCAGCAGCCGCGGUAAUACGGAGGGUGCAAGCGUUAUCCGGAUUUAUUGGGUUUAAAGGGUCCGUAGGCGGACUUAUAAGUCAGUGGUGAAAGCCUGUCGCUUAACGAUAGAACUGCCAUUGAUACUGUAAGUCUUGAGUAUAUUUGAGGUAGCUGGAAUAAGUAGUGUAGCGGUGAAAUGCAUAGAUAUUACUUAGAACACCAAUUGCGAAGGCAGGUUACCAAGAUAUAACUGACGCUGAGGGACGAAAGCGUGGGGAGCGAACA
RNAcentral lists this ribosomal RNA (422 nucleotides) under uncultured bacterium. RNAcentral describes it as "bacterial SSU rRNA". It matches the Rfam family "Bacterial small subunit ribosomal RNA", at positions 355 to 774 of the family's 1533-position model. The record is from RNAcentral.